RNAcentral lists this ribosomal RNA (464 nucleotides) under uncultured bacterium. RNAcentral's name for it is "bacterial SSU rRNA". It matches the Rfam family "Bacterial small subunit ribosomal RNA", at positions 330 to 792 of the family's 1533-position model. The record is from RNAcentral.
UCCAGACUCCUACGGGAGGCAGCAGUGAGGAAUAUUGGUCAAUGGCCGAGAGGCUGAACCAGCCAAGUCGCGUGAGGGAAGACGGCCCUACGGGUUGUAAACCUCUUUUGCCGGGGAGCAAAGUGCUGCACGUGUGCGGUUUGGAGAGUACCCGGAGAAAAAGCAUCGGCUAACUCCGUGCCAGCAGCCGCGGUAAUACGGAGGAUGCGAGCGUUAUCCGGAUUUAUUGGGUUUAAAGGGUGCGUAGGCGGAAUAUCAAGUCAGCGGUAAAAAUUCGGGGCUCAACCCCGUCGUGCCGUUGAAACUGAUGUUCUUGAGUGGGCGAGAAGUAUGCGGAAUGCGUGGUGUAGCGGUGAAAUGCAUAGAUAUCGCGCAGAACUCCGAUUGCGAAGGCAGCAUGCCGGCUCCACACUGACGCUGGGGCACGAAAGCGUGGGUAUCGAACAGGAUUAGAUACCCGUGUA